This is an RNA transcript of Solanum verrucosum, 1893 nucleotides long. It is a transcript of the gene named DNA-(apurinic or apyrimidinic site) endonuclease 2, with no coding region annotated. Lineage: Eukaryota; Viridiplantae; Streptophyta; Magnoliopsida; Solanales; Solanaceae. The transcript has 9 exons. The record is from RefSeq and is a predicted model, not a curated record.
UACUACUACUGACCUCCAUUGUCGGUUCUGCAAUCUUCUGAUGAAUUGAAUUGCAUUGGAAGAAGAAUGAAGAUAGUGACGUACAACGUGAACGGUUUAAGGCCACGCAUACAGCAGUACGGUUCACUUCUCAAAUUGUUGGAUUCACUUGAUGCUGAUAUUAUCUGUUUUCAGGAGACUAAGUUGUCGAAGCAUGAUCUUAGAGCCGAUUUGGUUCGUGCUGAAGGUUAUGAGUCUUUCUUCUCUUGUUGCACUCGUACUUCUGAUCGUGGACGCUCUUCUGGAUAUUCCGGUGUUGCUACCUUUUGUCGUGUAAAAUCUGCAUUCAUGAGCAAUGAAGUAGCUUUGCCAAUUUCUGCAGAAGAAGGCUUCACUGGUCUCCUCGCAACAUCUAAAGGAUAUGAACCUAGAAAGGAGAAGUGCCCUUCAAUAGCUGAAGGCCUCGAGUGCUUUUCUAGAGAUGAGCUUCUUAUAGUUGAUAGUGAGGGACGUUGUCUGAUCACUGAUCAUGGUCAUUUUGUUCUAUUCAAUUUAUAUGGGCCCAGAGCUGUUCAAGAUGACUCUGAAAGAAUCCAAUUUAAGCUCACAUUUUUUAAGAUGUUAGAGAGAAGAUGGGAGUGCCUCAUGCAUCAAGGAAGGAGGAUUAUUAUUGUAGGUGACCUCAAUAUUGCUCCUGCUUCCAUAGAUCGGUGCGACGCAGAACCUGAUUUUGAGAAGAACGUGUUCAGACAAUGGUUUAGAUCAUUGCUAGUGCAAAAUGGAGGGCGUCUCCUUGAUAUUUUUAGAGCAAAGCAUCCUGAUAGAAAAGGAGCCUAUACUUGCUGGUCACAGAGUACAGGAGCCGAGGAAUUUAAUUAUGGUUCUAGGAUUGAUCACAUACUUAGUGCCAGAUCAUGCUUGCAUGGUGAGGAAACUCAGGAAGGGCAUGACUUUGUUACUUGCAAUGUUGCAGAGUGUGACAUAUUGAUGCAAUUUCAAAGGUGCAAACCUGGAAAUACGCCAAGGUGGAAAGGAGGGAGGAGCAUCAAAUUAGAAGGUUCUGAUCAUGUUCCAGUUUACAUGACUUUAGUAGAUAUUCCUGAAGUAUUGGAGCAUAGCACCCCGCCAUUAUCUACCAGAUAUCAUCCCCAGGUCUUUGGGAGUCAAACUCUUGUGCAGUGUCAAUGUUCACGAGAAGGCAAACAACUGAGCAAGUUAUUUCAGAGGAAAGUGAAAGCCGUCAGAUUCCAAGUCAGGAAGACUUUCUCUCAACUCCAGAGAAAUAUGGUAGUAGAGCUUCUCAGAUUUCGGUGCUUGGCUCUCAAAGCAACGCUAAUAUUCUUCCCUGCAUUGCGACCAAGAAGAAAGCGAGGCUUGGUCAGGGGUCUCAGCUCACACUUAACUCAUUCUUCCAGAAACGCACACAUAGAAGUGAGACUUCUAGCAGCAGCUUUGCUGAUUCUAAACUUUGUCAGACAGACAUAUCUUAUUCUCAGAUUGAGCCUGAUGGAGUGCCUUCUGCUGCUGAUGAAAGUGGCGCUUCAAAGGACUGCAGAUCAAGUGCAAUUGACAAUAAUCAACAUAAGUGCCAGCUAGAUGCAUGCGACUCAGAUAAAGAGAAGAGAAAAGUGGCAUUACAGGAGUGGCAAAGGAUUCAGCAAUUGAUGCAGAAUAGUGUACCUCUUUGUAAGGGCCAUCAAGAACCUUGUGUUCCUCGGGUCGUUAAAAAAGCAGGGCCCAAUUUGGGCCGCAGAUUUUAUGCCUGUGCUCGAGCUGAGGGACCUUCAUCAAAUCCUGAAGCAAAUUGCGGUUACUUCAAAUGGGCUGCUGUUUUAAAAUCCAAGGGAAAAGGAAAAUGAAGUCUCCACUGCAUAUAUUCACCUACAUGAUAAUGAGAGUUCAGGUUAGCAAAUU